UGCUAAAUACUAAAUGACGCAAUGUUUUGGACUGGUCUUCAUUUUCUUCGAUACAGGCACAACCGAGCGUAAAUAUUAAGCGAGAAAGUCUAGUGGAACGAUGCAGGGUUCAUUGGGUUUGUUUACAAAAAUUCAAGCAUCCGGUUAAGAAGACGACAAAUAAGAAUGGUAUUAAGUUGGUAGAAUGGAACUCCUUCCUGAUUCCUGCACAUGUAAGUUACCAGAUACUCUUGAGGGACCAAUUUAAGGGCAAACAGACAAACGUUUUGAUGCAAAGAAAGCAUUGGAUUUGAAAGUUCCCAUGGAGAUGAAAAAUGGAGAGAUUCUAAAAGUAUGAAGAUACUCCUGUGUAUAAUGAGGAAAUCUUGUCAGUGAAUGUUGUUGCAAUUGUGGACCAGGCCAGAGUUGUACUAAACCAACUAAGACACAAUGAGAUACAGGAAUGACACAAUGAGAAACAGGAAACAGGAAAGUGAUGACUGAUCGCCACCUGUUACAAAUUCAUCUAGAAAACUCCCCACAUCCAACAAGAGACAGUCUGACUUCAAAAUCUUCAUUGAAGGCAACUUAAUGGACAAGACAUCCGUCACAUAAAGAUUCACUAAAAUUGGAAUGAUAUACCAAUUUUAACUUUUAACAGACAAAUACAUUAUAGAUUUGAAAAUAGAUUACCCUUAGAUAAGUUGGAUGAUUAACAUUUACCUCAACACAGUACAAAGUGCUCAUGUUGAACUAUUGUGAUUGAUCAUAGUCUGUCCUUCAUUUUUAUUAACAGUUUCAUACAGUGUUAACACUUUAGUAUGGGGACUCAUUUUUAGCUCAACUUUUCGUAGAAUAUGGAGAGCUAUACUACUCACCCAAGCGUCGGCGUCGGUGUCACCCCUUGGUUAAGGGUUUGCGUGCAAGCACACAUAGGUUAAUAUCUCAGCAACUACUUGAGGUAUUGCAUUGAGACUUUAUACAAUGGUACUCAACCAUCCAACCUACUUAUUUAAACAAGUAAGAUAACUCUAGUUUGCAUUUAAUGUAAAUAAUAGGCCUUUAUUAUUUGACUUAGAAAUUCUGGUUAAGGUUUUGCAUGCAAGCACACAUAGGUUAAUAUCUCAGCAACUGCUUGAGGUAUUGCAUUGAGACUUGAUACAAUGGUACUCAACCAUCCAACCUACUUUUUUUAAACAAGUAAGAUAACUCUAGUUUGCAUUUAAUGUAAAUAUUAGGCCUUUAUUAUUUGACUUAGAAAUUCUGGUUAAGGUUUUGCAUGCAAGCACACAUUAUAUCUAAGGUUAAUAUCUCAGCAACUGCUUGAGGUAUUGCAUUGAGACUUGAUACAAUGGUACUCAACCAUCCAACCUACUUAAUUUUCCAAGUUAUAUAACUAUAGUUUGCAUUUAAUGCAAAUACUUGCGUUUAUUAUUUCACUCAGAAAUUCUGGUUAAGGUUUUGCAUGUAAGCACACAUAGGUUAAUAUCUCAGCAACUACUGGAUGAAUUGCAUUGAGACUUUAUACAACCACCCAACCUAAUUGAAUAAUCAAGUUAGAUAAAAAUUCUGGUUAAAAUUUUGCAUGUAACCACAUUUAUGUUAAUAUCUCAGCACAUCAUGUAUUGCAUUGAAAUCUAAUCUUACAGUGAUCCAUGCAUGUUUCGCCAAAACUUUUCAAUCCUUUCACUGAAAAGCAGCGGAAUAGUCGAGAGCGCUGUCUCUGUGACAGCUCUUGUCUCUUUGGUCUUUAUUCAUACUGGCCAGAAUAUGUUUACCAAAAAAAUCUUAGUAGAGAUUGAUAACUGUUCAGGUUGGACAAAAAGCAUGUAGGUUGUUUGUUCUAAUAAUAUAAACUGUAAAUGCUUCAGAAACUAUAUAUAUAAUUUUCAUGAUAUUUGUCAGUAUUUAUUCUCGUCAACAUUUAAAUGAUAUUAGGUGAAACUUGUUUAUUGGUCAAAAUGUGUUUGAUUAGAGUGGCCUCAAGUUCCACUUUAUAUGAAUGAAAUUUGGUCAAGUUUUAGAAAAAAACUAUGUUCUAGUUUUAUAGGCCAUAUUCUCUUCCCAAGCCCUCCUUAAAGAAUGAAUGUAGGUAAGAUGAAACAGGAGUCACUAAAUCAAGUAUUAAAAGCCUUAAAAAUUGCUAUUCAUAGAGGUAUUGUUUCCUCAUCAUAAAUCACAACUUAGCCAGCAAGACUUUACAACAAAUAAGGCAUAACAUGUAAAAAGUUAAUAAUUAGGCACAUAUUUUAGUGAAUAAAAUCUUGUGAACAUAUUAUUGAAACAAAUAAUGUGUCUGGUUCUGAGGUGAGCAAUAAAGCACAUUGCUUAGUAACAAUUGAGCUAGCUCAUUAUUAAAAGUUUGUUUUAAACAUGAAUUAAAUGAAUGCAAAUCAUAUAUUAUUAUUUUUAAUCUAUAUUUUUUUUAGUUACCUUGUUCUGUUGUUAAUUUCCAUACUGACUUGGUCAAUUACGGCUAAUUGUCUAAUUAUAUUUUAACUUCUAACCUAAAUGUUUCAUUGUACUUUUGAGUGUUCUGUUAACUAUAUUGCACAUUAUCCUAUAUGACAGUAUAAAUUCAAUAAAACCAUGGUUAUUAAGUUCCAUACAUAUUGGAGCACAUGGUAAGCCUCUAGAAAUGUCACUUCUUAAACCUAGAUUCUUGAUCUGUUCGCCACAUUGUUUUGUUAAUUUUUUGUUUAUAAAAACAAAUGAUUGUUUAAUGUCAAGGAAACCUUUUUAAAGUUAAAAUGUAGAUGUACAUAGAUAACUGUCAAAUAUUAUUUACCAUUUAAUAACUGUCUAAAGGCAAAAUUUCCAUUCAUUUUUAUAUUUGAUUUGGGUCCCUAGGGUCAUGGUCACUGUAACUAAAAAUAGAAAAAUGCUUGGUACUGAAUAACUUCAGUUUUAAUACAUUUAAAACUGAAUCUCACAAUAAAGGCUGAAGUUCUUGUUGCAUUGCAGCAUUUCUAGUUAACUUUUUAAUUUGACUCUUUUUAUUGCUUUCGACAGGCACAUAUUACAUCAUUAUUGUAUUCAUUUUUAAGACAAAGCCUCAUUUAAUUGAGCGUGCUGUCCAAAGACAGCUCUUGUUGACAUAAUUAUAAGACACCUUAUGUUAUGGUUUAUAUGAACAAUAGCUGUUUCUGUGUAUGUUUUAGAAGAAACUUCCAUUUCUUAUCAUAUUGAUGGACAUAGAUAUACAUACAUGUACGGGAUUAUUGACAUCAGAUUCUUAGGAUUAAAUUUACUAAUGUUCUGUUCAUGUUCAAAAUAGAUACAGUUAUGGUAAAUG
Long non-coding RNA from Mya arenaria, 3274 nucleotides. RefSeq lists it as uncharacterized. NCBI's taxonomy places the organism in Eukaryota, Metazoa, Mollusca, Bivalvia, Myida, Myidae. The record is from RefSeq and is a predicted model, not a curated record. The transcript has 5 exons.